CGGACGGGUGAGUAACGCGUGGGUAACCUGCCUCAUACAGGGGGAUAACAGUUAGAAAUGGCUGCUAAUACCGCAUAAGACCACAGCACCGCAUGGUGCAGGGGUAAAAACUCCGGUGGUAUGAGAUGGACCCGCGUCUGAUUAGCUGGUUGGUGGGGUAACGGCCUACCAAGGCGACGAUCAGUAGCCGACCUGAGAGGGUGACCGGCCACAUUGGGACUGAGACACGGUCCAA
Molecule: ribosomal RNA, 235 nt
Filed under: uncultured bacterium
Lineage: Bacteria
Description: partial 16S ribosomal RNA
Rfam family: Bacterial small subunit ribosomal RNA
Source: RNAcentral